This is a long non-coding RNA of Rhipicephalus sanguineus (brown dog tick), 902 nucleotides long. RefSeq lists it as uncharacterized. The record is from RefSeq and is a predicted model, not a curated record. The transcript is spliced from 4 exons. Lineage: Eukaryota; Metazoa; Arthropoda; Arachnida; Ixodida; Ixodidae.
UUGCGAAGAGCAGUUUUUCGGCGCCAUGAAAUGGCUUGCCACGAUGUUCAGGCACGGGGCGUGUAGUUGCAGUACGUACGAGUCGCGUUUUAACUUUAUUCUGUGUGUGUGUGUGUGAACUUUACCUGGACAAUCAUGGAGCUGUGUACCAGGAACUGCGUCGCCUGGAAUUCAUCGAGGACCACUGCGAGCUUCGUCGUCGGCAUCAAUUGGUAAGCCACAAUUGAUGGCAGGCCGGCGAGGUGUGGGGCGUUUUCACCGAACGUCACUCGCUAUAGUUUCCUAGCUCAACCGAGGUUAAAGGUUGCGUGGAACUUUAGCGAGCGGGUUCCUUGAAAACUGCUGCCACUUCGGGUCCAACUCCCCGUGACACAGGCACGCGUACUACAGCUUUCAGGCUUAGCUUACGGUUAGGUAGGUAGGUAGCUUGUGAGGGGUUGUGUUCACGGGCGGACUCGACACCGGGAUGCUCGUGGCGCUCCUGCGGCCGUCAUUUCGUGCCAGACUUCUGGUGCGUAAUGCGGUUUUCGCGGGCCGCAAAGCGGCGUCCCGGUGUAAUUGCCUCGUCGGCUUGUCCCCACACUUCAAGCAACUGGCAACGUUUGAACUUCAAGUCUGCACAACGCAACGCGUCGCGUCGGGGACCUGCUACGGGCGGAGCACAGCUUCAACUUGGCUGCUAGACCAUGGACCAGCCGUGGCUUCGCGCUCAAGCGUUAUUCGAGCGCUGACGUACUGACACGCCCCGUGCCACACCGGCGUAUCUUCCGCACUAUAUCGCCGACGAGUCUUGAUGGCGGACGUGCUCCCGGCAUUGGAUCGAGAGUGCCGACUGUCUUCACACGCCCCCUAUGCCACAACGGCAGAUCUUCCUGGUGGAUAUCCUACCGGCACUACCUCAA